Molecule: ribosomal RNA, 255 nt
Filed under: uncultured bacterium
Lineage: Bacteria
Description: partial 16S ribosomal RNA
Rfam family: Bacterial small subunit ribosomal RNA
Source: RNAcentral
UACGGAGGGUGCGAGCGUUGUCCGGAAUCAUUGGGCGUAAAGGGCGCGUAGGUGGCGGGACAAGCGUGCGGUGAAAAGCUCGGGGCUCAACCCCCGCGUCGGCCGUGCGAACUGUUUUGCUUGAGCACUGUAGAGGCAGGCGGAAUUCCGGGUGUAGCGGUGGAAUGCGUAGAUAUCAAGCGGAACACCGGUGGCGAAGGCGGCCUUCUGGACAGUGACUGACGCUGAGACGCGAAAGCGUGGGGAGCAAACAGG